AUUGAACGCUGGCGGCAUGCCUUACACAUGCAAGUCGAACGGUAACAGGUCUUCGGAUGCUGGCGAGUGGCGAACGGGUGAGUAAUACAUCGGAACGUGCCCAGACGUGGGGGAUAACGAGGCGAAAGCUUUGCUAAUACCGCAUACGAUCUAAGGAUGAAAGCAGGGGACCGCAAGGCCUUGCGCGUUUGGAGCGGCCGAUGGCAGAUUAGGUAGUUGGUGGGAUAAAAGCUUACCAAGCCGACGAUCUGUAGCUGGUCUGAGAGGACGACCAGCCACACUGGGACUGAGACACGGCCCAGACUCCUACGGGAGGCAGCAGUGGGGAAUUUUGGACAAUGGGCGAAAGCCUGAUCCAGCAAUGCCGCGUGCAGGAUGAAGGCCUUCGGGUUGUAAACUGCUUUUGUACGGAACGAAAAGGCUCUGGCUAAUACCUGGGGCACAUGACGGUACCGUAAGAAUAAGCACCGGCUAACUACGUG
RNAcentral lists this ribosomal RNA (482 nucleotides) under uncultured bacterium. Its description in RNAcentral is "partial 16S ribosomal RNA". It matches the Rfam family "Bacterial small subunit ribosomal RNA", at positions 30 to 507 of the family's 1533-position model. The record is from RNAcentral.